RNAcentral lists this ribosomal RNA (2352 nucleotides) under Salmonella enterica subsp. enterica serovar Stanley. Its description in RNAcentral is "partial 23S ribosomal RNA". It matches the Rfam family "Bacterial large subunit ribosomal RNA", at positions 606 to 2925 of the family's 2925-position model. The record is from RNAcentral. Lineage: Bacteria; Pseudomonadati; Pseudomonadota; Gammaproteobacteria; Enterobacterales; Enterobacteriaceae.
UUUUGUAUAAUGGGUCAGCGACUUAUAUUCUGUAGCAAGGUUAACCGAAUAGGGGAGCCGGAGGGAAACCGAGUCUUAAUUGGGCGUUAAGUUGCAGGGUAUAGACCCGAAACCCGGUGAUCUAGCCAUGGGCAGGUUGAAGGUUGGGUAACACUAACUGGAGGACCGAACCGACUAAUGUUGAAAAAUUAGCGGAUGACCUGUGGCUGGGGGUGAAAGGCCAAUCAAACCGGGAGAUAGCUGGUUCUCCCCGAAAGCUAUUUAGGUAGCGCCUCGUGAAUUCAUCUCCGGGGGUAGAGCACUGUUUCGGCUAGGGGGCCAUCCCGGCUUACCAACCCGAUGCAAACUGCGAAUACCGGAGAAUGUUAUCACGGGAGACACACGGCGGGUGCUAACGUCCGUCGUGAAGAGGGAAACAACCCAGACCGCCAGCUAAGGUCCCAAAGUCAUGGUUAAGUGGGAAACGAUGUGGGAAGGCCCAGACAGCCAGGAUGUUGGCUUAGAAGCAGCCAUCAUUUAAAGAAAGCGUAAUAGCUCACUGGUCGAGUCGGCCUGCGCGGAAGAUGUAACGGGGCUAAACCAUGCACCGAAGCUGCGGCAGCGACACUGUGUGUUGUUGGGUAGGGGAGCGUUCUGUAAGCCUGUGAAGGUGUGUCGUGAGGCAUGCUGGAGGUAUCAGAAGUGCGAAUGCUGACAUAAGUAACGAUAAAGCGGGUGAAAAGCCCGCUCGCCGGAAGACCAAGGGUUCCUGUCCAACGUUAAUCGGGGCAGGGUGAGUCGACCCCUAAGGCGAGGCCGAAAGGCGUAGUCGAUGGGAAACGGGUUAAUAUUCCCGUACUUGGUGUUACUGCGAAGGGGGGACGGAGAAGGCUAUGUUGGCCGGGCGACGGUUGUCCCGGUUUAAGCGUGUAGGUGUGUGUUCCAGGUAAAUCCGGUUCACUUUAACACUGAGGCGUGACGACGAGGCACUACGGUGCUGAAGCAACAAAUGCCCUGCUUCCAGGAAAAGCCUCUAAGCAUCAGGUAACAUCAAAUCGUACCCCAAACCGACACAGGUGGUCAGGUAGAGAAUACCAAGGCGCUUGAGAGAACUCGGGUGAAGGAACUAGGCAAAAUGGUGCCGUAACUUCGGGAGAAGGCACGCUGACACGUAGGUGAAGUGAUUUACUCAUGGAGCUGAAGUCAGUCGAAGAUACCAGCUGGCUGCAACUGUUUAUUAAAAACACAGCACUGUGCAAACACGAAAGUGGACGUAUACGGUGUGACGCCUGCCCGGUGCCGGAAGGUUAAUUGAUGGGGUCAGCGCAAGCGAAGCUCCUGAUCGAAGCCCCGGUAAACGGCGGCCGUAACUAUAACGGUCCUAAGGUAGCGAAAUUCCUUGUCGGGUAAGUUCCGACCUGCACGAAUGGCGUAAUGAUGGCCAGGCUGUCUCCACCCGAGACUCAGUGAAAUUGAACUCGCUGUGAAGAUGCAGUGUACCCGCGGCAAGACGGAAAGACCCCGUGAACCUUUACUAUAGCUUGACACUGAACAUUGAGCCUUGAUGUGUAGGAUAGGUGGGAGGCUUUGAAGCGUGGACGCCAGUCUGCGUGGAGCCGACCUUGAAAUACCACCCUUUAAUGUUUGAUGUUCUAACGUGGACCCGUGAUCCGGGUUGCGGACAGUGUCUGGUGGGUAGUUUGACUGGGGCGGUCUCCUCCUAAAGAGUAACGGAGGAGCACGAAGGUUGGCUAAUCCUGGUCGGACAUCAGGAGGUUAGUGCAAUGGCAUAAGCCAGCUUGACUGCGAGCGUGACGGCGCGAGCAGGUGCGAAAGCAGGUCAUAGUGAUCCGGUGGUUCUGAAUGGAAGGGCCAUCGCUCAACGGAUAAAAGGUACUCCGGGGAUAACAGGCUGAUACCGCCCAAGAGUUCAUAUCGACGGCGGUGUUUGGCACCUCGAUGUCGGCUCAUCACAUCCUGGGGCUGAAGUAGGUCCCAAGGGUAUGGCUGUUCGCCAUUUAAAGUGGUACGCGAGCUGGGUUUAGAACGUCGUGAGACAGUUCGGUCCCUAUCUGCCGUGGGCGCUGGAGAACUGAGGGGGGCUGCUCCUAGUACGAGAGGACCGGAGUGGACGCAUCACUGGUGUUCGGGUUGUCAUGCCAAUGGCACUGCCCGGUAGCUAAAUGCGGAAGAGAUAAGUGCUGAAAGCAUCUAAGCACGAAACUUGCCCCGAGAUGAGUUCUCCCUGAGACUUAGAGUCUCCUGAAGGAACGUUGAAGACGACGACGUUGAUAGGCCGGGUGUGUAAGCGCAGCGAUGCGUUGAGCUAACCGGUACUAAUGAACCGUGAGGCUUAACCUUACAACGCCGAAG